GAAAGGCUAUUUGGCGCCCUAGGCGAGAUGUUCUCAGCGCGCCCUUCCGGAGGUUAUUCCUAGGUACCAGUACCAGGCAAAAAAUAGAAAGUGGCGUUCAUAAAUACUUUAUUGUGUUUUCUUCAAAUACAUAAUAACAUAACGACAUAACGUGUAGGCGGUGUAGGUAUACAAAAACGCAUAUCCAAAGAUAUUAGGGAAGGGAUAUACACAUAAAAAAUCAAAAAUUCAUCUUCCUUGCCUUAUUUCUCGCGAACUGCUGGACUAUCUGUUCUAAAUUUACAUUCCAUGCCUCCCUCGAUUCAAUUGAGAUCAUUGCCAAGUCCACGAGCCUAUUCUGAGACAUUGUUGACCGCAAAAAUUUCUUUAUCAGCUUUAGCUUGGAGAAACUGCGUUCUCCGCUGACCACCGACACUGGAAGCGUCAUUAAAAAGUACCGGGAAGUUUUUUGGAGCCGCCGACGCGCUGUCGUUGAAAGAUGUUGCUUAAUUUUGGCGCCCUCUGAAGCUUGGCGCCCCAGGCAGCCGCCUAUGUUCGCCUUGUGGUUAAACCGGCCCUGCCUGUGCGGUGUUGAUCGUAGUCCUCGGGUGUUUAAAAUAAUGAAUAAUGGUGGAAGAGAAGGUUUUAAGCCGAUUCAAACGUCAGAACCAAUUUAAAACCGUAUACACCUACACAAUUUGUAAUAAUUGCAAAUUGAUGUUUACCGACUUCAAACUAUUUUGCACGAUAAUAUUGAAAAUUGUAAGGUGAAAACAUUGAAGAACCAUUCCACACUGAAAUCAAAGAACGUUUAACCAGUUGGAAGUGGUUGGUGUACAGAAAGUACAACCAAUGAAACAGAAACUGUGACAUUCAGUGGACAAUCUAUGCCUAUGCCAGCAUCGCCUCAUGACGGUCAAUGUAUUACAUUGAAUCAAGCCAAAGAGAUGCAAAGUGAAGCUAUUGUUAAGGGGUUAAUCAAGAAAGUCAGAGUUCCUUCAGCGUAAAUCGACACCAAACAAUAAACUUCCAGUAAAUAAAGUUUUAUUCCGAAGUAGGUACUUAUAUCAAAUUUGGAAGAUGGCAGAACCUGAGGGAUCUCGA
Molecule: long non-coding RNA, 1083 nt
Organism: Photinus pyralis (common eastern firefly)
Lineage: Eukaryota; Metazoa; Arthropoda; Insecta; Coleoptera; Lampyridae
Exons: 3
Source: RefSeq, a predicted model, not a curated record